Peromyscus californicus insignis is the source of this 527-nucleotide non-coding RNA. NCBI's taxonomy places the organism in Eukaryota, Metazoa, Chordata, Mammalia, Rodentia, Cricetidae. The record is from the annotation of a RefSeq genome assembly.
UCCCUAAAUGCCACUCCUUUUGUUUCGUUGGAAGUGUGACUCUUCAGUGAAAACAAUAAUGCAUCUCUUAAGUGUUUCACUAAUGGCACUCUGGCUUCAACUGAAUGGGGUGAGCACCCAGCAGAAGGUGCAGCAGAACCCAGAAUCCCUCAGUGUCUCACAGGGAGCCAUGGCUUAUCUCAACUGCACUUCCAGUGAUCGUAAUUCUGAUUACUUCUGGUGGUACAAACAGCAUCCUGGGAAAGGCCUCAAGAUGCUGAUGUCCAUCUUCUCCAACGGUGAGAAGGAAGAAGGCAGAUUCACAGUUCACCUCAACAAAGCCAGCCUGCAUGUUUCCCUACAUAUCAGAGACUCCCAGCCCAGUGACUCAGCUGUCUACUUCUGUGCAGUGAGCACACAGUGCUCCCCAGGCACCUUCAGCCUGCACCCAAACCUACUGGGUCCCAGCAAGGUCUGAGCUACAGUGCAGAAAACAGGGUGGAGAAAUUCUUAUUAUCUCCUUGUACUCCAUUUACAACGGGAAUUAA